This 499-nucleotide ribosomal RNA is filed under the name uncultured bacterium. RNAcentral describes it as "partial 16S ribosomal RNA". It matches the Rfam family "Bacterial small subunit ribosomal RNA", at positions 28 to 507 of the family's 1533-position model. The record is from RNAcentral.
GACGAACGCUGGCGGCGUGCCUAAUACAUGCAAGUCGAGCGAAGUUUUUCUGGUGCUUGCACUAGAAAAACUUAGCGGCGAACGGGUGAGUAACACGUAAAGAACCUGCCUCAUAGACUGGGACAACUAUUGGAAACGAUAGCUAAUACCGGAUAACAGUAUUUCUCGCAUGAGAGAUAUUUAAAAGUUGGUUAUGCUAACACUAUGAGAUGGCUUUGCGGCGCAUUAGCUAGUUGGUGGGGUAAAGGCCCACCAAGGCGACGAUGCAUAGCCGACCUGAGAGGGUGAUCGGCCACACUGGGACUGAGACACGGCCCAGACUCCUACGGGAGGCAGCAGUAGGGAAUCUUCCGCAAAGGGCGAAAGCCUGACGGAGCAACGCCGCGUGAGUGAAGAAGGAUUUCGGUUCGUAAAGCUCUGUUGUUAGGGAAGAAUGGAUAUGUAGUAACUAUACAUGUAAGAGACGGUACCUAACCAGAAAGCCACGGCUAACUACGUG